CAAGCGCAAGAGAUCCAGCAGAAGAAGGAGGCAUUCUAUGACGCGGUGUCUAAUGUGGAGCUUAAGAUGAAGGAGUUCAAUGAUGCCUUAGUUAAGGCGGUGGAUCCUACUGGCCAGAAGCAUCUUUCUGCGCCACGGACCGGCUAUGAGCGCAUUAAGAUGUAUGGAUUAAGAGCUCUGGGUGUGAUAGAGUUAACUUCCAAGACAGCCGUCUUCGUGGUGUUUGCUCUUUCCUUCGUUCGUCUCAGCAGCAUGAAGACCGAAGAGUUGACGUCAGGGGAAACCACCACUGAAGUGAAGGCCGCAAAUUGACAAGUCCAACAUGGAUCGCGCCCCAGCUUGUUCUUCACUCUCUAAUUAUCAACUGCAGUUUGGCUACCAAGCACUAUGCUAUCUUUGUGAUGGUGCGUGACGUCGCAUGCUGUUAUGUCUCUAUAUAUCUGUUUGUUCGGACCGGACGGGUGAUGUCAACAUAUAUGCAUGCAUUGUUGCUGGUGUUACUGCCUUAUUUUAGUAGAGGACCACAUUCCAAUCCUGUUAGAAGAUUGAGUAUCUCUAAGCAAAUUGUAUGAUGCCCUUUUGCGAUCCAUUCAUUUUGUGACA
Long non-coding RNA from Triticum dicoccoides, 603 nucleotides. RefSeq lists it as uncharacterized. The transcript has 2 exons. Lineage: Eukaryota; Viridiplantae; Streptophyta; Magnoliopsida; Poales; Poaceae. The record is from RefSeq and is a predicted model, not a curated record.